GACCUGAUAGCAUAAUUGGUUAGUGCUUUUGCAACUCAUACCAUGAAUAGUGGCAAGAUUUGGCAGGAGGUCCCCGUUCGAUCUGGGGUCAGGUCA
Molecule: non-coding RNA, 96 nt
Organism: Mycena vulgaris
Lineage: Eukaryota; Fungi; Basidiomycota; Agaricomycetes; Agaricales; Mycenaceae
Source: the annotation of a GenBank genome assembly